RNAcentral lists this ribosomal RNA (374 nucleotides) under uncultured organism. RNAcentral describes it as "partial 16S ribosomal RNA". It matches the Rfam family "Bacterial small subunit ribosomal RNA", at positions 527 to 896 of the family's 1533-position model. The record is from RNAcentral.
GUAGGUGGCAAGCGUUGUCCGGAAUUAUUGGGCGUAAAGCGCGCGCAGGCGGUCCUUUAAGUCUGAUGUGAAAGCCCACGGCUCAACCGUGGAGGGUCAUUGGAAACUGGGGGACUUGAGUACAGAAGAGGAAAGCGGAAUUCCACGUGUAGCGGUGAAAUGCGUAGAGAUGUGGAGGAACACCAGUGGCGAAGGCGGCUUUCUGGUCUGUAACUGACGCUGAGGCGCGAAAGCGUGGGGAGCAAACAGGAUUAGAUACCCUGGUAGUCCACGCCGUAAACGAUGAGUGCUAAGUGUUAGGGGGUUUCCCGCCCCCUUAGUGCUGCAGCUAACGCAUUAAGCACUCCGCCUGGGGAGUACGGCCCGCAAGGCUG